ACAUAGCCCCGAUGGGAGCGGCAUCCUUUUUUGCGUUGGACAAGCCUGGGGAAAAAAGAUAUAGUGGACAGCGGGUUAGAAA
Molecule: small RNA, 82 nt
Filed under: Epilithonimonas mollis
Lineage: Bacteria; Pseudomonadati; Bacteroidota; Flavobacteriia; Flavobacteriales; Weeksellaceae
Description: Chryseobacterium molle Flavo-1 RNA
Rfam family: Flavo-1 RNA
Source: RNAcentral